AUUGUUGCUUUGCUUGGGAAGGUUUACGACGACAAUCUCAGCAGGAUGAUGUUUUGUUCUCAGUGUAUGAUCUAUUGUCGCCGUGUAUGCAGCCACAAUGAGAUCCUGCAGUAACUUGGUAGUAGAGUGUUUAUACCGGUCUUGAUUCUUUUCACGACGUGGGCUAUGAUAAAGAAGUGGUUAUGGAGAAGAUUGAAGGAAAGGCAGACAGUGCAGCUGUUGUUGUCCACAAGCUGCUUAGAUCACCAAAACCUGAACAGCUGUAUCUCAAAUAUGCUCAUGACAUACUUGGCGGGGUUGCACUUCUUGGAGUGUUUCAGAACCAUAAGCUUAGCAGGUUGAUGUUGGU
RNAcentral lists this unclassified non-coding RNA (349 nucleotides) under Hevea brasiliensis (rubber tree). The record is from RNAcentral. Lineage: Eukaryota; Viridiplantae; Streptophyta; Magnoliopsida; Malpighiales; Euphorbiaceae.